AGCAGCAGCCGCGGGAAUACGGAGGGUGCAAGCGUUAAUCGGAAUUACUGGGCGUAAAGCGCACGCAGGCGGUCUGACAAGUCAGAUGUGAAAUCCCCGGGCUUAACCUGGGAACUGCAUUUGAAACUGUCAGGCUGGAGUCUUGUAGAGGGGGGUAGAAUUCCAGGUGUAGCGGUGAAAUGCGUAGAGAUCUGGAGGAAUACCGGUGGCGAAGGCGGCCCCCUGGACAAAGACUGACGCUCAGGUGCGAAAGCGUGGGGAGCAAACAGGAUUAGAUACCCCGGUAGUCCCUGUCUCUUAUAC
This 303-nucleotide ribosomal RNA is filed under the name uncultured bacterium. RNAcentral's name for it is "partial 16S ribosomal RNA". It matches the Rfam family "Bacterial small subunit ribosomal RNA", at positions 507 to 807 of the family's 1533-position model. The record is from RNAcentral.